This 301-nucleotide ribosomal RNA is filed under the name uncultured bacterium. RNAcentral's name for it is "partial 16S ribosomal RNA". It matches the Rfam family "Bacterial small subunit ribosomal RNA", at positions 509 to 809 of the family's 1533-position model. The record is from RNAcentral.
CAGCCGCCGCGGGAAUACGUAGGGCGCAAGCGUUAUCCGGAAUUAUUGGGCGUAAAGAGCUCGUAGGCGGUUUGUCGCGUCUGCCGUGAAAGUCCGGGGCUCAACCCCGGAUCUGCGGUGGGUACGGGCAGACUAGAGUGAUGUAGGGGAGACUGGAAUUCCUGGUGUAGCGGUGAAAUGCGCAGAUAUCAGGAGGAACACCGAUGGCGAAGGCAGGUCUCUGGGCAUUAACUGACGCUGAGGAGCGAAAGCAUGGGGAGCGAACAGGAUUAGAUACCCCCGUAGUCCCUGUCUCUUAUAA